Molecule: ribosomal RNA, 490 nt
Filed under: uncultured bacterium
Lineage: Bacteria
Description: partial 16S ribosomal RNA
Rfam family: Bacterial small subunit ribosomal RNA
Source: RNAcentral
AUUGAACGCUGGCGGCAGGCCUAACACAUGCAAGUCGAACGGUAACAGGAAGCAGCUUGCUGCUUUGCUGACGAGUGGCGGACGGGUGAGUAAUGUCUGGGAAACUGCCUGAUGGAGGGGGAUAACUACUGGAAACGGUAGCUAAUACCGCAUAACGUCGCACGACCAAAGAGGGGGACCUUAGGGCCCCUUGCCAUCGGAUGUGCCCAGAUGGGAUUAGCUAGUAGGUGGGGUAACGGCUCACCUAGGCGACGAUCCCUAGCUGGUCUGAGAGGAUGACCAGCCACACUGGAACUGAGACACGGUCCAGACUCCUACGGGAGGCAGCAGUGGGGAAUAUUGCACAAUGGGCGCAAGCCUGAUGCAGCCAUGCCGCGUGUAUGAAGAAGGCCUUCGGGUUGUAAAGUACUUUCAGCGGGGAGGAAGGGAGUAAAGUUAAUACCUUUGCUCAUUGACGUUACCCGCAGAAGAAGCACCGGCUAACUCCGUG